GUGUCGGGGGAAUCGACCCCUUCGGUGUCGUAGCUAACGCGUUAAGUGUUCCGCCUGGGGAGUACGCACGCAAGUGUGAAACUCAAAGGAAUUGACGGGGGCCCGCACAAGCGGUGGAGUAUGUGGUUUAAUUCGAUGCAACGCGAAGAACCUUACCAGGGUUUGACAUCCUGCGAACCUCUUAGAAAUUUGAGGGUGCCUUCGGGAAUGCAGUGACAGGUGGUGCAUGGCUGUCGUCAGCUCGUGUCGUGAGAUGUUGGGUUAAGUCCCGCAACGAGCGCAACCCACGUUUUUAGUUGCCAGCAUUUAGUUGGGCACUCUAGAAAGACCGCCGGUGAUAAACCGGAGGAAGGUGUGGAUGACGUCAAAUCAUCAUGCCCCUUACACCCUGGGCUACACACGUACUACAAUGCUACGGACAAAGGGCAGCAAACUCGCGAGAGCUAGCAAAUCCCAUAAACCGUGGCUCAGUUCAGAUCGUAGGCUGCAACUCGCCUACGUGAAGUAGGAAUCGCUAGUAAUCGCAGGUCAGCAUACUGCGGUGAAUACGUUCCCGGGCCUUGUACACAC
RNAcentral lists this ribosomal RNA (570 nucleotides) under uncultured marine bacterium. RNAcentral describes it as "bacterial SSU rRNA". It matches the Rfam family "Bacterial small subunit ribosomal RNA", at positions 820 to 1390 of the family's 1533-position model. The record is from RNAcentral.